RNAcentral lists this non-coding RNA (124 nucleotides) under unclassified sequences. Its description in RNAcentral is "Betaproteobacteria-1 RNA". It matches the Rfam family "Betaproteobacteria-1 RNA". The record is from Rfam by way of RNAcentral.
CGCCAUGCUGGACGCGACUACGAGAGGCACCAGCAGCAUGGGGACAGCCUAACUGGGGGGAAAGUGGUUGAGACUAGGCAUCGGGUGGCGAAGGUAGCGCCCGUAUCACGCACGGCUGCCGGGC